GAUGAACGCUGGCGGCGUGCCUAAUACAUGCAAGUCGAGCGAACAGACGAGGAGCUUGCUCCUCUGACGUUAGCGGCGGACGGGUGAGUAACACGUGGAUAACCUACCUAUAAGACUGGGAUAACUUCGGGAAACCGGAGCUAAUACCGGAUAAUAUAUUGAACCGCAUGGUUCAAUAGUGAAAGACGGUUUUGCUGUCACUUAUAGAUGGAUCCGCGCCGCAUUAGCUAGUUGGUAAGGUAACGGCUUACCAAGGCAACGAUGCGUAGCCGACCUGAGAGGGUGAUCGGCCACACUGGAACAGAGACACGGUCCAGACUCCUACGGGAGGCAGCAGUAGGGAAUCUUCCGCAAUGGGCGAAAGCUUGACGGAGCAACGCCGCGUGAGUGAUGAAGGUCUUCGGAUCGUAAAACUCUGUUAUUAGGGAAGAACAAAUGUGUAAGUAACUAUGCACGUCUUGACAGUACCUAAUCAGAAAGCCACGGCUAACUACGUG
This 497-nucleotide ribosomal RNA is filed under the name uncultured bacterium. RNAcentral's name for it is "partial 16S ribosomal RNA". It matches the Rfam family "Bacterial small subunit ribosomal RNA", at positions 28 to 507 of the family's 1533-position model. The record is from RNAcentral.